UUCAAAAGGGGUGUGCAAGGAAAACAGUUUCGUUCAACUGUUUUAUUACUGAUGGCGACAGCGCUGAACGUACGUGUACCAGAAGUAUUGGUUGGUGAAUCAGCAGAUAUAGUCACA
Molecule: non-coding RNA, 117 nt
Organism: Camelina sativa (false flax)
Lineage: Eukaryota; Viridiplantae; Streptophyta; Magnoliopsida; Brassicales; Brassicaceae
Source: RefSeq, a predicted model, not a curated record